Long non-coding RNA from Cyprinus carpio carpio, 456 nucleotides. NCBI's taxonomy places the organism in Eukaryota, Metazoa, Chordata, Actinopteri, Cypriniformes, Cyprinidae. The record is from Ensembl.
GUCCAAUCUGCCCCAAACUUCACAUGUUUGAGAAGACUCCUGACCUGAAUAUAUCUACAUGCCAAUAUUCAGAUAUCGCUAUAGCGCCACCUGCUGGCAACAGGAAGUGACAUGUUUUACGCUGUAACAAACUACUCCUAGAUAUUUUAUGACAUUUUAUAAUUUUUUUUGGUCAGUCUAAUCUAAAGGCCUUUGCGAUGUUAAAUUGUGAACAUCUUGAGGUUUCAUUAAAGGGUGUGGCCAUGGCGCCGUGACAAAGUUCGAUGUCUCGCCAUGGGAAUAGAAGUUAUUGUAACUCAGGCAUAAGAUGUCCGAUCUUCCCCAAACUUCACAUGUUCGAAAAGAGUCUUGGCCUGAACACAUCUGAAGGUCAAUAUUCCACUAUAAUCAUAGCGCCACCUGCUGGCAACAGGAAAUGGCUUGUUUUACACUAACUUAAACAUGCAAUGUCCAAUC